This 770-nucleotide ribosomal RNA is filed under the name uncultured Neocallimastigales. RNAcentral's name for it is "partial large subunit ribosomal RNA". It matches the Rfam family "Eukaryotic large subunit ribosomal RNA", at positions 26 to 637 of the family's 3401-position model. Lineage: Eukaryota; Fungi; Neocallimastigomycota; Neocallimastigomycetes; Neocallimastigales. The record is from RNAcentral.
CGCAUCUGUGCAUGCAGCAUAUCAAUAAGCGGAGGAAAAGAAACUAACAAGGAUUCCCUCAGUAACGGCGAGUGAAGCGGGAAGAGCUCAAAUUUGAAAUCUUGAAAGGUCACCUUUCACGAAUUGUAGUUUAAAGAAGUGUUUUCUGUUACGAUCGUAAUAUAAGUUUUUGGAAUAGGACAUCACAGAGGGUGAGAAUCCCGUCUAUGAUUGCGAUUUGUAGCUUUGUGAUACACUUUCAAAGAGUCGGGUUGUUUGGGAAUGCAGCCCAAAACGGGAGGUAAAUUUCUUCUAAGGCUAAAUAUUGGCGAGAGACCGAUAGCGAACAAGUACCGUGAGGGAAAGAUGAAAAGAACUUUGAAAAGAGAGUUAAAUAGUACGUGAAAUUGUCAAAAGGGAAGCGUUUAACACCAGUGUUGUUUUCUGAAAAUCAACCUCUGUUAGCUUUAUGCAUGUUUGUUUAGACCUAAUCAGCUAUCUUGCAUGUUCUAUUGUUUGCAGUGGUGCACUUUUCAGUUUACAGGUCAACAUCAGUUUUUUUUACCGUAAAAAAGUUAAAGAAAGGUAGCUCAUGGCUCCGGUCGUGAGUGUUAUAGUCUUUUUCCUAUGCGGUAGGAGAGACUGAGGUCUGCAGUGUAGGCUAUUUGGCUAGAUACUCAGGUGCUAUGUGAUACCAUUUCAUAAACAACUUGUUGAUUAUGUUUUGUCUAUUGCAUACUCGCUUGUACUAUCAUACCUACGCUUAGGAUGUUGACGAUCAGCUGAGCGCG